UACGUAGGGUGCAAGCGUUGUCCGGAAUUAUUGGGCGUAAAGAGCUCGUAGGCGGUCUGUCGCGUCUGCUGUGAAAACCUAGGGCUUAACCCUGGGCCUGCAGUGGGUACGGGCAGACUAGAGUGCGGUAGGGGAGACUGGAAUUCCUGGUGUAGCGGUGAAAUGCGCAGAUAUCAGGAGGAACACCGGUGGCGAAGGCGGGUCUCUGGGCCGAUACUGACGCUGAGGAGUGAAAGCGUGGGGAGCAAACAGG
RNAcentral lists this ribosomal RNA (253 nucleotides) under uncultured bacterium. Its description in RNAcentral is "partial 16S ribosomal RNA". It matches the Rfam family "Bacterial small subunit ribosomal RNA", at positions 524 to 776 of the family's 1533-position model. The record is from RNAcentral.